UUUUUGUUUGAACGAAGCAAAAGUCAGUAGAGUAGAAAAAUCAAAAUUUGGCUUCAUACAAUAAAGAUUUUGCAAUACAUUUGGAAACAAAUUUUCUCUACAUUUAAACAUGAAAGAUAAAAUAUUAAAGACAUUUAGUUGAUAUACAUUUAAAAUAUUCAUUUCUUUAAAAAGUUGUUUCGUGUGAAAAAACCGAUUUUUAAAAUUUGUUGCGCGAGCUGUGUGUUUCUGAUGAAGAGAAUUCCGAUGCAUUUAGCAAUUUUAUUGGAGGUAUUAUCAAUAUGAUUUCCCCAAGAUAGAUUUUCAUCAAUUUAGUAACUUAGUAACUUUUUCUCUUCUUAUUAUUAUAUUAUAAAUUAAAAGGUUUGGCAUGAUGUGGGUCAGUUUCUGGUUUUUUAAAGGUCGAUAAAAAAAGUGUCCAUCAAGUUUUUUCUAUAUUUUGGGACAAGUAUAGAAAAUAUUUGUUUAAACCAAAAUGAAAACAGAAACUUUUUUAGAUUCAUAUUAUUAGUAAAAAGCGAAAGGAGGUGGCAAAAUGGGCGUUCUCACGAAUCAUAAAAAUGGAUGGCGUAUCAUCAUUAUAUUUUUUUAAUAUUAUUAAUUUUCAUUUUUUUGUCUUACAGAUGUUCGACUAAAACUUAAUAAAUUAAUAUCUUUAUGAGACAAAAACAAAUUUGUGUCUUAUGCAAAACUUAUUGUUGUUAAGUUUGAUGAUUUAUGAAGAUCAUUUAUGUAUAUUAAAAAAUUAGAGGACCAAGUAUGGAUCCUUGUGGAA
Hydra vulgaris (swiftwater hydra) is the source of this 775-nucleotide long non-coding RNA. RefSeq lists it as uncharacterized. The record is from RefSeq and is a predicted model, not a curated record. Lineage: Eukaryota; Metazoa; Cnidaria; Hydrozoa; Anthoathecata; Hydridae.